RNAcentral lists this ribosomal RNA (483 nucleotides) under uncultured bacterium. RNAcentral describes it as "partial 16S ribosomal RNA". It matches the Rfam family "Bacterial small subunit ribosomal RNA", at positions 28 to 523 of the family's 1533-position model. The record is from RNAcentral.
GAUGAACGCUGGCGGCGUGCCUAAUACAUGCAAGUCGAGCGAACCACUUCGGUGGUGAGCGGCGAACGGGUGAGUAACACGUAGGUGAUCUGCCCAUCAGACGGGGACAACGAUUGGAAACGAUCGCUAAUACCGGAUAGGACGAAAGUUUAAAGGUGCUUCUGGCACCGCUGAUGGAUGAGCCUGCGGCGCAUUAGCUAGUUGGUAGGGUAAAGGCCUACCAAGGCGACGAUGCGUAGCCGACCUGAGAGGGUGAAUGGCCACACUGGGACUGAGACACGGCCCAGACUCCUACGGGAGGCAGCAGUAGGGAAUCUUCGGCAAUGGGCGAAAGCCUGACCGAGCAACGCCGCGUGAAUGAUGAAGGCCUUCGGGUUGUAAAAUUCUGUUAUAAGGGAAGAACGACUUUAGUAGGAAAUGGCUAGAGUGUGACGGUACCUUAUGAGAAAGCCACGGCUAACUGCGUGCCAGCCGCCGCGGUAA